Molecule: long non-coding RNA, 1532 nt
Organism: Lemur catta (Ring-tailed lemur)
Lineage: Eukaryota; Metazoa; Chordata; Mammalia; Primates; Lemuridae
Exons: 8
Source: RefSeq, a predicted model, not a curated record
ACGAGCGUGCGUGUGCGUGACCGCCUCACGCGGCGGGCUCGGGAGCGCGCCGCAGCCGGGACCGCUCCCGGGCCUCAGAGGAGAUGCGGGUUGGGGUCACGGGGGCGGGAAGGUAACCGCUCCGGAGCUCUUUCGGCGCGUGGGCUCCUGCAGCUCUGUUCGGACCCGCAGAGUAGAACGGGAGGCGGCCAACUCGCUGCUCCGUGGAGCUGACUGCGUUCUGAGGUGAAGAAACUGGGAGUUGGAGAAGCAGACUGUGCAAAUGAAUAGACAUGAGUCAUAUGGACUAGACUGAAGAAAAGCAAGGUGACAGAUGUUCAACAAUUAGUUCUCCAAAAGCCACUGACUUGAGCCCUACAGGAAAAGAUUCAGGGUAUAAUGAAGUCAUGAAGAUCAGCUGGCUUCAACCAUGAGGACAAAGACAGCAGGAUAGAAGAUGUCAGAGUAAUAAAAGGGAAGGAACCUGGGUCCCUGGAUGACCUUGUGGAGGAAAGCCUGACUGUCCACUCCGGAUUGCUAUAUCUGCAGGCACACAAGAAAAUUGUCCAUGUAAAAAAUGACAAGAAACAGCAGUUAUGAAUAUCAACGAUUAGUGACAGAUCUCCUUGGGCACAGUAGGAAAAUCACCUGCACCUGAUGCUGAGCUCUUUAAGGACAAGAUCUAAAGUUGAAGAAUAGAUGAUACGAAUGUGUUGGUUGAUUUCUCUGUCUGGUGAACUCAAAAAUUCUGGGUAAUCAUCAAUCUGAAAAAGAAAGAUUAAUUGAUCUCAUUGAAGACAAAUACAACUGCUUACCUAUUCUGGGAUAAUAAAUCCCUCAAAGCUAAGGAUGUUUAUUCAUACAAAACAAGCCAUGAUUCUCUCAGCAAAACAGCUCCAUCAAGAGUCUCACCAGCCUUUCCCUUGGGGAACAGAGAGACUCAGGCAAGAGAAAGAAAAAAAAAAAAAAGAAAAAGAAACGAGGCUAGACACCUGUCCCCAAUGGAAAAAGGAAGAACACACCUGGAGAGCAGCUCAAACAAAGGGAGCCAAGUCUGGGGGUGUGGGGUGGGGGUGCGGGUGUGGUAAUUGGAGAGGAGACUGUGCUUCCAAUCUGGUGCUGGUUUAUAAGGUACAUCUAUUCCCCGAGGAAAGGGAUACAGUAGCACCAUACUAAAACUGGGAUACAGCUAUGCCAGAUUGUAUCUCCUUCGAGGCUCAACUCUGAUGACACUCCUUCCAGGAAGUUUUCCUAGCAUGCCCUGAGCCCAGUUUGGAUCAAGUGAACUGCCUGAGAUUGCCAAGCAUCCUGUACACAUCUCAUUAACACAUUCAUUCACUCAUUCAUUCAUUCAUUCUUAAUGAGCACCUAACAUGCUCUGAGCACUGGGAACAAAAAAGUGAACAAAGCAUAACAGCACUUAACACAUGGCAUUUAUUUGCAUUGGUGUUAGCUUCUGGUUCCUCCUACAGCCGCUUCCAGAAAGGGACCCUAUUCGUUUUUUGCAUCCUCUGGGUCUCGCACAGCGCCUGGCACAUACUAGAUGCUUAAUA